AAGAUUAACCACCUAUAAAGGUGCGUGAAAACUAUUACUCCAUAUUUCAAUUUUAAAACAUUGCAUCAUUUAGUCUACAUAUACUUUGCAUAAAUAAAGUUAAUCAAUUGUAGAGCAUAGUCGUAAUUAGGAUAGAAUAACUAGGAAUAACAUUCCAUUUAUAUCCAUCGAGAUUGAUUGGAUCCCUUAAACUUUAAGUCCAUAGUUCUUUCUUUAUUCUCUAAGUUUCAAGUCUUCAAAUUGUGUUUUUGUUUUAAGACGCAUCUAAGUAGCUAAUUGUUUCUAGAU
This 288-nucleotide long non-coding RNA is filed under the name Carica papaya (papaya). Its description in RNAcentral is "long non-coding RNA (CPAP_LNC009591)". The record is from RNAcentral. Lineage: Eukaryota; Viridiplantae; Streptophyta; Magnoliopsida; Brassicales; Caricaceae.